Molecule: ribosomal RNA, 497 nt
Filed under: uncultured bacterium
Lineage: Bacteria
Description: partial 16S ribosomal RNA
Rfam family: Bacterial small subunit ribosomal RNA
Source: RNAcentral
GACGAACGCUGGCGGCGUGCCUAAUACAUGCAAGUUGAGCGCUGAAGGUUGGUACUUGUACCAACUGGAUGAGCAGCGAACGGGUGAGUAACGCGUGGGGAAUCUGCCUUUGAGCGGGGGACAACAUUUGGAAACGAAUGCUAAUACCGCAUAAAAACUUUAAACACAAGUUUUAAGUUUGAAAGAUGCAAUUGCAUCACUCAAAGAUGAUCCCGCGUUGUAUUAGCUAGUUGGUGAGGUAAAGGCUCACCAAGGCGAUGAUACAUAGCCGACCUGAGAGGGUGAUCGGCCACAUUGGGACUGAGACACGGCCCAAACUCAUACGGGAGGCAGCAGUAGGGAAUCUUCGGCAAUGGAAGAAAGUCUGACCGAGAAACGCCGCGUGAGUGAAGAAGGUUUUCGGAUCGUAAAACUCUGUUGGUAGAGAAGAACGUUGGUGAGAGUGGAAAGCUCAUCAAGUGACGGUAACUACCCAGAAAGGGACGGCUAACUACGUG